GAUGAACGCUGGCGGCGUGCCUAAUACAUGCAAGUCGAGCGAACAGACGAGGAGCUUGCCCCUCUGACGUUAGCGGCGGACGGGUGAGUAACACGUGGAUAACCUACCUAUAGGACUGGGAUAACUUCGGGAAACCGGAGCUAAUACCGGAUAAUAUAUUGAACCGCAUGGUUCAAUAGUGAAAGACGGUUUUGCUGUCACUUAUAGAUGGAUCCGCGCCGCAUUAGCUAGUUGGUAAGGUAACGGCUUACCAAGGCAACGAUGCGUAGCCGACCUGAGAGGGUGAUCGGCCACACUGGAACUGAGACACGGUCCAGACUCCUACGGGAGGCAGCAGUAGGGAAUCUUCCGCAAUGGGCGAAAGCUUGACGGAGCAACGCCGCGUGAGUGAUGAAGGUCUUCGGAUCGUAAAACUCUGUUAUUAGGGAAGAACAAAUGUGUAAGUAACUAUGCACGUCUUGACGGUACCUAAUCAGAAAGCCACGGCUAACUACGUG
RNAcentral lists this ribosomal RNA (497 nucleotides) under uncultured bacterium. Its description in RNAcentral is "partial 16S ribosomal RNA". It matches the Rfam family "Bacterial small subunit ribosomal RNA", at positions 28 to 507 of the family's 1533-position model. The record is from RNAcentral.